Molecule: long non-coding RNA, 1386 nt
Filed under: Physcomitrium patens
Lineage: Eukaryota; Viridiplantae; Streptophyta; Bryopsida; Funariales; Funariaceae
Description: long non-coding RNA (PPAT_LNC003332)
Source: RNAcentral
GUGGGUGAAUGGGGCAAAACGCCCUCGAAUGCUGGCAGGGCUCCCCACUCUCCCUGUUACCAGCUCCCCUAGUUGGGGCAGAGGGGACAAGCAUCGUGACCCGCUUCCCCGCAUGUUGCUGCUGUGCGGCACCCCAAUGCCCACCUAUUUUUGGCGCUCCUCCACCCCAGCUCAUAAUUCCCCUCGCUCAUUAUUAGCAACGUAGUUGGCUGCCACUGGGGCCCCCAACUGUCUUCGACACCUCCAUCCUCCUCCUCCCCCUCCUCUCCAUGUCAUGCCAACGUGAACUUGACGAGGAGGAGGCGGCCCGGCACAGAUCAAGUUUCCAAAUGCGGCGUUGGAGUCUUGAUUCCUUUUAUCUGCCCAGGAUGGGAGUGCAGGGUUGUCUGGGCUGACCUCCAAAUUUUCGUUGCGCGCGAAGCUUGACAGAAACUCGGUCUCGCUCGCUGUCUCUCUCUCCUCCUUAGAUUAUCCAAACAUAUCUAUUGUCUAAUUACUCCUGCAAUGUCAGAGAUCAAGUGAUGACACGAGAAACGCCAGCCAAACGUCAACUUUUUGCGUGGCAGAUGGGCCCAUGCUGCAACAACGCCUCCCGCUUCCGAAAGCCUUUCAUCCUUCUGUGAGAUUCUAUUAUGUGUGCAGGAAUUCUGUACCACAUAUAGAUGAGGAGUUCUUCUUUCUUCGUUCCUUCCUUCUUUCCUUCCUUUCUGUGUUUUUACCUUUUGUGUUAGAAAAGGGUGGAUACUUUGCUAUUCUUCCAAGUAAACUUCCUGUUCUAAAACUUCAACGCUUCAGAGGAUAUCAGUCAUCCUUUGCGUCCACGUCAUCCGGAUCGCAAGACAGCACAGCAAGUGCCCAUAUUUGCUUCCUGGAUUAGUGACCUCAUCCAAAUUCCUCCGGUGAUUCCUGAUUAAACACCACCUCCACCGUGCUGCACUCCCAGUAUGCUUCCGAUACAACGAUCACCGGUCCUCUCAUCUAUUUGAGCAAUUAGAAACCCUCGGAGUGGUCUCACUGCUAAAAGUCGACUUCGCAAUUAGCAAGGAGCAUCAUUAUGCGAGCUUCUAGUCCUGAAGAGCUACAGAAUCCUUCUUGUUAUCAGUUACGAUUCUCCUGCUCCAUGUACGGCAUGCUGUUAUUUAACUAAUUAUACGGCAACUCAUCCAGUUUGCUUACUAACUUUGAUACAUAUAUUUCUAUAUACAUACUCACACACACACAUAGACUUAUAUAUUCAAUUAUUGACCGGGCUUUCGUGCACCGGAAUAUCCUUCCCUGCCCUGACCUGCACACCAAGCACCAACUCCACCUCCAUGGUUCACUGGAUUCACUGUUUCGUUUCACCUCAUCACCCGUUCCAGAAAUCACACGCUCAACGUCAAGCUC